AGAAAUCAGUCCGAGAUCUCGGAUGGAAAGAGAAUUGGCCAAUCGCAUUCGAAUAAUUUAGUCAAUUAACCAAUGCGAUUGAUCAAUUCUCUUUCCAUCCAAGAUCUCGGACCGAUUUUUAGUAUCAUGGACACAAGGCUUUAAGUUUUUCUAUGUGCCAUGGACUUAAUUGAAUUAAUUGCAUCGUGUGCCAUUGCCUUGUUUCAUUAGGUUAAGUUGCGAGACUGAGAACCACGCGAGAAACUGCGCGUGAACACGUGUUAUGUUUGUGGCGGGAAAACUCGCGUCUCGCACUCAUGUUGACGCACUCACUUUACUAUAAUCCUGAAUCCUGCGUUGACUCAAAUUUCACGAUGAUUGAGGAUCGGAGAAACGUAAAUAGGUGAACUCGGAGCAAGAUGGGCAAGGUUAUAUCUACAUGUUUAGAACGAUAAUGGGAUCGGAAGCCUCACAUCGAAUUUUCGUGAGAGAUUCACUUGCAGAAUCACUUAAAGAAUCCUUUCACUGAAUUCGAAUAAUAAAUUUGAUCGUUGUAGUCAAUGCCGCAUUCUUGUCGCAAAGCACGUUGGAAUGCUAUUCAAACAAUUCAAACAGAGAUAUUGACAAGUCUAUUAUUGAUAAUAGUAUUGACAACCUUUCUUUACAGUUCCAGUGCGUGUUCAUUCCUCGCGAUUGUGUGACUCGAACUUUGAUACGCGGAACGAUAAAAAAAAA
Pogonomyrmex barbatus (red harvester ant) is the source of this 714-nucleotide long non-coding RNA. Lineage: Eukaryota; Metazoa; Arthropoda; Insecta; Hymenoptera; Formicidae. The record is from RefSeq and is a predicted model, not a curated record.